GUGCUUGUUUUGGCAGCACAUAUACUAAAAUUGGAACAAUACAGAGGACAUUAGUAUGGCCCCUGUGCAUGGAUGACACACAAAUCCUUGAAGCAGUCCAUAUUUUU
Small nuclear RNA from Jaculus jaculus (lesser Egyptian jerboa), 107 nucleotides. The record is from Ensembl. Lineage: Eukaryota; Metazoa; Chordata; Mammalia; Rodentia; Dipodidae.